This is a non-coding RNA of Rattus norvegicus (Norway rat), 390 nucleotides long. The record is from RefSeq and is a predicted model, not a curated record. Lineage: Eukaryota; Metazoa; Chordata; Mammalia; Rodentia; Muridae.
GUAGACUGCUGAGGUGAUCUGAGGAGAGAUUGUAUGCUGUGCUGAAGUCACGAUGUGAACUGUCACAGAUGGGAAAUGUUAACAACAAGCGUUAGCUCACUGGAGUUGGAUUUAUUCAAAUGCUGUCGUUCUUGCUAAUAGAUUAUAGAUACAUCUCAGUCCUUUUUUUUUCCUUUUUAGAAGUUCCUGCCGAGGUCAUCAUCUACUCAUGGAACAAUGGUACUAGCAGCCAAAGAAUCCAGCAGGGCAUUGAACAGCAGAAGAUUCACAGCAGACAAGUUUCCCCUCCUGUGUACACAGAUUUGAAAUAACAGUGGAAGCCAUUCCAUCGCCAAUGUGUAUAAAACUAUGAGUUUAGUAUACCAUUAAAAUCUAUAUUAAUUUUUGGCA